This is a long non-coding RNA of Aphis gossypii (cotton aphid), 1676 nucleotides long. RefSeq lists it as uncharacterized. The record is from RefSeq and is a predicted model, not a curated record. The transcript is spliced from 3 exons. NCBI's taxonomy places the organism in Eukaryota, Metazoa, Arthropoda, Insecta, Hemiptera, Aphididae.
UACUGAUAAUAUUUUUAAUAAUAAAAAUAUUAUCCUUCUAUGUGUAUAACCUAUACAUUAUUCCAUGAUAUUUUAAUAUAUCAUCUAUGUAUUCGAUUAAUUAAUUAAUUAAUUUGUCAGUCUCUCUUUAAUUUUGUGAAAUUGUCUCGGUUGCCUCAUAGUAGUUCCAGCCCUGAUGACCAUUGACCAUGGACGAGAACCUAAUUGAAUAGGGAAGGCUGAAGAAUUGGAUGUGUAACGAGAUGGUUUUAAUGGCCGAAAAAUCUCAAAGAAGAAGAAGAAGAAGAAGAAAAUUAUUAGGAAUGCAGUUAGAAGUUAAUAAAAUUAAUAUAUAUUUAUCCAGAGAAAUUAAAUUAAUAGGCUACCUAGUACAUUAUAGAGGUAGUCAAUAUUUUGAAAAAGAAAAACUAGAUGAAUAUUUGUUCUGUGAAAGAUGUUGAUGAUAAGGUACUGCUGAUUAAAAGUUUUCAAUUGAAAAAGCACCAAAUGUUUUAUGCAUUCAGUUGAAAAGGUAAAUUAUUGCUUGAAUGAAAAUUAAUUAUGUAUAUGCUGACACUACACAGCUUUUGGUCUAACACCCUCUGGAUCAUAUUAAUAUUUUAAUGUUUUAAAUAUAAUUAAUUAUGUUUACAUGUUUAUCAAACAAUUUCAAAAAGUAUUCAAAGAGUAAUGAUUCAAAUAUAAUAUUUUAUGAAUUUAAACUAUCAGAAAAUAAAAUACAUAAGCGUGGAAAUGAUACUUUAGAAUUGGACAGUUGUAGUGAGUGAUCCAAAGUGCGGCUUGCAGAUCACAAUUAUAAUGGCGACUUAAGUCUCAAAUUAAUAGCAAAACAGAUGGAAAAUGUUUAGAUGGAAAUAGUUCUCUUGAUGAUAAACCUUGAUGAGUUUAAAAUUGUAUAGAUAACAUACGAAUUUUUAAUGUUGAUUUUUGUGCAAAUUAUAUGUAAUUUUUGUACCUUUGGCGUUUCUAUCAUGUAGCUCAAUAUUUUACUCUUAAAUUAAUAUCUUUGAAUUUGAUCCCUAUCUUUUUUAUACAAAAAAAAUAAAAAUUUUAUUAAUUAAUUAAUUUGUAAUAACCAAAAUGUUAUUAGGUAAUAAUUUAAAGUUAGAUAACAUACAUUUUACAUCAUUACCUACAUGGUUACUUUGAAUUAAAUAUCUUAAUAAUUGUAUUGUUUUUACUACACAAAAAUAUUUAGUAACACAAUACACAAGAAUUUAUUUAAUUUAUCUCACAAGAAUGGAGAAAUAAUAAAAGCUAAACAAUAAUUUAAAAAUUAAACCGAAGACGUUAGAAAUGCAAUAGAUAUAUUAUAGCUGAAUUUUUUAGUAAGUAACCAAUACGAAAACAAAUAAAUACCUAGCCAUAUUGUAUUAAAUAUACAUAAUAUGAGGUUAUCAGGUCGGAAAAUGCUGAGUUAUAAGGAAAAGUUCUUACCCAUUGAAAAAAUAAUACACAAAAUGGAUAUAAAAGUGAAUUUCAACUUCAAAUUCUUCUGGUGCCCGAAGUAUCCCUCAACCUGUUCCCAUUUGUUUAAGAGAUUACACCAAUUACUUGACAAGUUAAUGAGCAACGCCAUAGUGACGGCUGAUCCACCAAAAAACAAAACUACACCUGUAAACAAUUCUCUGUAUUGUCAUGAUUAUAAUAUAAUAUAAUUAUAAUAAUCUGUCGAA